This 76-nucleotide microRNA precursor is filed under the name Branchiostoma floridae (Florida lancelet). RNAcentral's name for it is "microRNA bfl-mir-193a precursor". Its record names the gene bfl-mir-193a. Lineage: Eukaryota; Metazoa; Chordata; Leptocardii; Amphioxiformes; Branchiostomatidae. The record is from miRBase by way of RNAcentral.
CAUGCUCAAUAAAGACUUCAGGGGACAGUCGGUGUCUAGCAGUUUCCUACUGGCCCCUUAAGUCCCGGUUGACGUU